GAUGAACGCUGGCGGCGUGCCUAAUACAUGCAAGUAGAACGCUGAAGGAGGAGCUUGCUCUUCUGGAUGAGUUGCGAACGGGUGAGUAACGCGUAGGUAACCUGCCUGGUAGCGGGGGAUAACUAUUGGAAACGAUAGCUAAUACCGCAUGACAACAGUUAUUGCAUGAUAACUGUUUAAAAGGGGCAACUGCUCCACUACCAGAUGGACCUGCGUUGUAUUAGCUAGUUGGUGAGGUAACGGCUCACCAAGGCGACGAUACAUAGCGGACCUGAGAGGGUGAUCGGCCACACUGGGACGGAGACACGGCCCAGAGUCCUACGGGAGGCAGCAGGAGGGAAUCUUCGGCAAGGGACGGAAGUCUGACCGAGCAACGCCGCGUGAGUGAAGAAGGUUGUCGGAUCGUAAAGCUCUGUUGUAAGAGAAGAACGAGUGUGAGAGUGGAAAGUUCACACUGUGACGGUAUCUUACCAGAAAGGGACGGCUAACUACGUG
Molecule: ribosomal RNA, 495 nt
Filed under: uncultured bacterium
Lineage: Bacteria
Description: partial 16S ribosomal RNA
Rfam family: Bacterial small subunit ribosomal RNA
Source: RNAcentral